AUGUGCUUAGCGGUGAACAUUUUACCGAUCUCGCACCUAUUUUCCUGGCGCUCUGGCGCUCACAAUCUCAGUGGCAUCUCACAUGUUACUUGUUUUGUGUGUGCCAUUUUUGAUUGUCGUUGUUUCAUGUUUGUCCGUUUACACUACGUUUUCACGUACAUAAAUGAAUUGUUUCGACACGAACGACACGAUUUCCAGACAUUCUAUCAGAAGUAGGCGUGCAUGAGCUUGCUGUCUUACGAGUUCCGCUUGUUUCAAUAUCACGUGUACGAAGAUUACACGAAACGAACGCCACCAUCAUGUCUAAACGACGUCUGGAUAUAAUUGAUCCGUACAUCACCAAAAACAAAAAGGCUGAAGGAGGAGGACAAGUGUAUAUGAAACCUAGUUCUUCAACUCAAUUACAGACAAAUCCUUACACUAAUCUACCAUUUACUCCUAAGUAUUUUGAACUUCAUAAGAAACGAAUACAAUUGCCUGUAUUUGAGUACAAAGAUGAGUUUAUGAGUCUUUUAAAGAAUAAUCAGUGUAUUGUGCUAGUCGGUGAAACAGGUUCAGGAAAAACUACUCAAAUACCACAAUGGUGUGUAGAAUAUUCUUCAGUAUGUGGUCGUAAAGGUGUUGCAUGUACUCAACCUCGAAGAGUAGCUGCUAUGUCUGUAGCUCAGCGAGUUUCUGAAGAAAUGGAUGUGUGCCUUGGUUCUGAAGUUGGUUACAGUAUACGUUUUGAGGAUUGUUCUUCAUCCAGAACACUUUUAAAAUACAUGACAGAUGGUAUGUUGCUCCGUGAAGGUAUGUCUGAUCCCAUGUUAGAAACAUAUCAAGUUAUUCUUCUAGACGAAGCUCACGAGAGAACUUUAGCUACAGAUAUAUUAAUGGGUGUUCUUAAAGAAGUUAUUAAACAGAGAAAGGAUCUUAAAUUAGUUAUUAUGUCCGCUACGUUAGAUGCUGGAAAAUUUCAACAAUAUUUCGAUAAUGCCCCACUUAUGAAUGUUCCUGGUCGCACAUUCCCUGUAGAAAUAUUUUAUACUCCAGAACCGGAACGAGAUUAUUUAGAAGCAGCAAUUCGUACAGUAAUUCAAAUCCAUAUGUGUGAAGAAGUGGCUGGAGAUAUUUUACUUUUUCUUACAGGACAAGAAGAAAUUGAAGAAGCUUGUAAGAGAAUAAAAAAAGAAAUUGACAAUUUAGGUCCAGAUGUUGGUGAAUUAAAAUGUAUUCCAUUAUAUUCUACUCUACCUCCAAAUUUACAACAAAGAAUUUUUGAGGCAGCUCCCCCAAAUAAGGCAAAUGGAGCUAUUGGUCGUAAAGUAGUAGUUUCCACAAAUAUUGCUGAAACAUCUUUAACCAUUGAUGGAGUUGUAUUUGUGAUAGAUCCUGGAUUUGCCAAACAAAAAGUAUAUAAUCCUCGUAUUCGUGUUGAGUCAUUGCUCGUGUCUCCUAUUAGUAAAGCUUCUGCACAACAAAGAGCUGGUCGUGCGGGCCGUACAAGAGCAGGAAAGUGUUUCAGGUUAUAUACCGAGAAAGCAUACAAAAAUGAAAUGCAAGAAAAUACAUAUCCUGAAAUAUUACGUUCAAAUUUAGGUUCAGUAGUGUUACAACUAAAGAAACUGGGUAUCGAUGAUUUAGUACAUUUUGAUUUUAUGGAUCCUCCAGCACCAGAAACUUUAAUGAGAGCUUUGGAGUUACUUAACUAUUUAUCAGCUCUAGACGAUGAUGGUAAUCUUACCGAUUUGGGCAAUAUCAUGGCUGAGUUUCCUCUAGAUCCACAGUUAGCAAAGAUGUUGAUUGCUUCAUGUUCACUUAGUUGCUCUAAUGAAAUCCUUUCGAUAACAGCUAUGUUGUCAGGUGUGUGUUGCUGGUUAUUAAAUGAGGCACAAUGGCCUUAUCCGGGCGUACCCGUCUGGCCUGCCUCCCCUGAUUGUCUUGUUUAGUCCCACAAUGUUUUGUUCGACCAUCUGAAGCAAAGAAAGCAUCCGACGACUCAAAAAUGAGGUUUGCCCACAUCGAUGGGGAUCAUCUUACCUUACUCAAUAUCUAUCAUGCAUUUAAACAAAAUAAUGAAGAUCCUCAAUGGUGCUAU
This 2080-nucleotide unclassified non-coding RNA is filed under the name Acyrthosiphon pisum (pea aphid). RNAcentral's name for it is "putative pre-mRNA-splicing factor ATP-dependent RNA helicase PRP1, transcript variant X1". The record is from RNAcentral. Lineage: Eukaryota; Metazoa; Arthropoda; Insecta; Hemiptera; Aphididae.